CACUCUGGAGAAGAGUACUGCUGUUGUCUGGUGGCUAAAAGCAAAAUCACAUAAAGAGGGAAGAGAAAGGAGAGUAAAACAAAGCUGUCUCUCACUCCCAGCUCGAUAACAAAUGCAGCAAGUGAUCUCAUAAGCGCACCAGGUAGUGCCUCUGGGCUGGCACGGUGCCCACCUGUGCCAUCUGCUGAGCAUCAAACCUUCCUCUGCUUCCCAUCCUGCAGAACCUGCUGCAGCCGGGCUCUGCUUUUCUGCUGAAAUCACUGCGGCACACAGCCAGCCCAGGCAAAACUGCUCAUCGGUCAAUCAGAAUUUGCAGUUCCCAUCUGCCACAAGCUGGGCCUUUGGCUGGAGAAGUAGCUGCAGGCUGUUGCUCUCCAAAGGAGCUCAGAAAUUAGGGUCUGUCUGCAUCACAGUGCCAGGAGUUCAUUUAUCUCUUUUUGGUAAGUAAAUGUAAUGUGGACACACCUGUAGUUUUUAUGAAGCCCUCCUUUAGGUGAGCAUCUAAGGUUCUUC
This 513-nucleotide long non-coding RNA is filed under the name Manacus vitellinus (golden-collared manakin). RNAcentral's name for it is "lncRNA (ENSMVIG00005002537.1)". Lineage: Eukaryota; Metazoa; Chordata; Aves; Passeriformes; Pipridae. The record is from RNAcentral.